This 450-nucleotide ribosomal RNA is filed under the name uncultured Glomeromycotina. Its description in RNAcentral is "bacterial SSU rRNA". It matches the Rfam family "Eukaryotic small subunit ribosomal RNA", at positions 569 to 1021 of the family's 1831-position model. Lineage: Eukaryota; Fungi; Glomeromycota. The record is from RNAcentral.
AGCAGCCGCGGUAAUUCCAGCUCCAAUAGCGUAUAUUAAAGUUGUUGCAGUUAAAAAGCUCGUAGUUGAACCUUAGGCCCGUGCGGGUGGUCCGUCCUCAGGGCGAGCACUGCCUCGUCGCGGGUCUCACCUUCUGGCGAGCGUCGAUGCCAUUCACUUGGUGUCGGCGGGAACCAGGACCUUUACCUUGAAAAAUUAGAGUGCUCAAAGCGGGCUCGUACGCUUGAAUACAUUAGCAUGGAAUAAUGAAAUAGGACGACGGUUCUAUUUUGUUGGUUUCCGGGACAGUCGUAAUGAUUAAUAGGGAUAGUUGGGGGCAUUCGUAUUCAAUUGUCAGAGGUGAAAUUCUUGGAUUUAUUGAAGACGAACUACUGCGAAAGCAUUUGCCAAGGAUGUUUUCAUUAAUCAAGAACGAAAGUUGGGGGAUCGAAGACGAUCAGAUACCGUCGU